AACGCGAAGAACCUUACCAGGACUUGACAUCCCGCUGACCGGUCUAGAGAUAGACCUUCCCUUCGGGGCAGCGGUGACAGGUGGUGCAUGGUUGUCGUCAGCUCGUGUCGUGAGAUGUUGGGUUAAGUCCCGCAACGAGCGCAACCCUUACAUUGUGUUGCCAUCAUUCAGUUGGGCACUCACAAUGGACUGCCGGUGACAAACCGGAGGAAGGUGGGGAUGACGUCAAAUCAUCAUGCCCCUUAUGUCCUGGGCUACACACGUGCUACAAUGGGCGGUACAAAGGGAUGCGAAACCGCGAGGUGGAGCCAAUCUCAUAAAGCCGUUCGUAGUUCGGAUUGCAGGCUGCAACUCGCCUGCAUGAAGCCGGAAUUGCUAGUAAUCGCGGAUCAGCAUGCCGCGGUGAAUUCGUUCCCGGGCCUUGUACACACCGACGCGUA
RNAcentral lists this ribosomal RNA (440 nucleotides) under uncultured bacterium. RNAcentral describes it as "bacterial SSU rRNA". It matches the Rfam family "Bacterial small subunit ribosomal RNA", at positions 958 to 1399 of the family's 1533-position model. The record is from RNAcentral.